RNAcentral lists this ribosomal RNA (299 nucleotides) under uncultured bacterium. Its description in RNAcentral is "partial 16S ribosomal RNA". It matches the Rfam family "Bacterial small subunit ribosomal RNA", at positions 29 to 314 of the family's 1533-position model. The record is from RNAcentral.
AGCGAACGUUAGCGGCGCGCCUAACACAUGCAAGUCGCACGAGAAACGGAGCAAUCCGCGGUACAGUGGCGCACGGGUGAGUAACACGUGGACGACCUUCCCUGGAGUGGUGGAUAACCGUGCCGAAAGGCGGGCUAAUACAGCAUAGGACCACGCCGCUUUUGCGGCGCGGUGAAAGCGGGCUUCUGUUUACAUGCUCGCGCGUCCGGGACGGGUCCGCGUCCCAUCAGCAGUUGGUGAGGUAACGGCUCACCAAGGCUUCGACGGGUAGCUGGUCUGAGAGGAUGGCCAGCCACACU